CUCCCAAGACAUGAGCGAAGCCCUAUACGCCGACCCGUACCGUUUCAAUACUUCCGAGACUUACGCCAAACCAUACGUCAAGUCCGGUUCCAAACCGUGUACUUACGCCGAACCGAACAAGGCAGAUUACGCGGAACCUUACAAGCCUAAGGAAGGGAAUCAUGCUGCAAUUGGAAGUGAAUCGGAAGGAGGUUAUGCUGCAAUAGGUCAUUCGGAAGGAGGUUAUGCUGCAAUAGGUAACUCUGAAGGAGAUUAUGCUGCAAUUGGUAACUCUGAAAGAAGGUAUGCUGCAAUAGGUAACUCUGAAGGAGGUUAUGCUGCAAUUGGUAACUCUGAUGGAGGUUAUGCUGAAAUUGGAGCUAAAUCGGAAGUAAAUUAUGCUGAAAUUCGUGUAAAUAAU
Molecule: long non-coding RNA, 400 nt
Organism: Cydia strobilella
Lineage: Eukaryota; Metazoa; Arthropoda; Insecta; Lepidoptera; Tortricidae
Exons: 2
Source: RefSeq, a predicted model, not a curated record